UUGACUCAUCCCAGAUACCUACGGUAUCAAAAGGAUUGAGCUCUGGUGGGACUCUUUCCGUGUUAUCGAGACCUAGGUGACUUGGUAUGCAGGUGUAUCAGUAUCACCCAAGAAUUUUCGUACACAUCUGGCCGUUGCGAGUAGUACAGCUUUCUGCAUGGCCUUGUAAAUAUGUUAUAUACGAGAUAAUGCAAUAUUAGACUUACAUUAGUUUCAUAAACAUUAGUAGUCUAGUUCUCGACAGCUUGUCUACCAGGGGCUUCACCAGGUGUUUCGUCCACCAUAGAUUUCUGCAAAAUGAUGACGGCUCAGCUUUUUAGAGUUUUCUGGUUCGUUUCUGAAUAAAGGGUUGGAAUCCACUGUUCUUAGUUAGGUUUUCCGUGCUCUGCUAACGUUUCCAGAUCCUACUGACUGAGGCAAUUCUUAUAUCAAUAAGCACUUUUUAGUUUUUAUAAAAAUAUUUAUUUUAAAAAUCAAAGUUACUUGCUAUAAAUCUAAAUAUUUGUUAACGAAUAAUUAAUCCCGAUAGAUGGUUUUAUGCAAUUAACAAAAUGGAUUGUGAGAAUGUGUGGACGUCGUAGUUCCGCUGACAUUGUUGACACUGGAUGCGUCGGUCAUCGGUUCGUCAUCGGUUCAGAUGACCGACACCUGAUACUAAUGGGAAAUGGGUACUUAAUCAUUAAGGCUACUUGGUUGCUAUAAACGAAUAUAACAUAUAUCAUGUAAUACAAUCUUGGACGUUCCUUUUUAUAUACGGUUUGCGGCAAAAUAAACAGAACUAAAAUUCGUAUGCCUCAAAUUUGUAUGUGUCACGCACCGAAACGUACUGAGUGGUUUCGAACGACGGUCGUAUAACGUAUGUGAAUGUCGUGAUAAUGUUAGGUGCUUCAGAAUGGUUCUCAGUUUUACAGAAAAAAAAUUAUGAUGGAGUACUAUUUUCGGUCAUACGGAAAAGGUCACGAAAACGGUCCAAACUUAAAAUUAACAUUUGUUUCAGUAGAACGGGACAACCUGUCAUACGGCCAGGGACCCUCUUCUUCGAAUACUGCCCGAUCAUUUUGGGAGUUGCCACUCACCAGAACUAACGCCACCAGAUGCGUACAUAUGAGGAAUGCUGAAGGAGUCACACAGAUUCACCAUCUUCCAUUUCGGAAUUAAGGACUAGAAUUAAAGAUUUUUUCACGGCAGAGGCUGUAGCGGAUCUAAAAAUUUGCCUUAGAAGGGAAAAUUUGCCUUAGGGGGAAAUUCCAAUGAAAACCAACUAAAAGACAAAAAAUAUAAACUCAGAUUUUAACGGUAACUCUUUCAGGGCGACAGACUCAGUAAAACACAGGUUAAAAACAAAGUAAAUAUAUUUAAGACAUUUACCCUAACACACAACAUUCCAGGAAUGUACUACCAAAGUUCUAUCAAUAUUUGAAUGUCCUGGACAUUUAGGGAACAUUCGGUGAACAUCUGAUUAAAUUAUUCGUGGAAUGUUACCAUAAGACAUUCUGUGAACAUACUACCAAUGUUCCUUUUGUUAAUAUGUUCAUUUUCAAACUCACGGCGCAUGUAUUUGUGCAUGGUGCUUAGAGAGGGCAUCACGUGACUAAAAACGACCAAUGACCUCACUUCAGACUUCGGUGCUUCGGCCAUCUUGACAUGCAUCUUGGCCUUGGCCACCUUGCCGUGCGUGAUCGUUGUUUGUUUUUAUUUGUGCUUUUUAAGAAUAUUUUUUAAUUCGGAUACUUUUAUAAUAACUUUAAUAGUAUUAUUAAUAUAGUGCAUAAAAUCAGUUGGAGUAGCAGAAGCAAUGUAGAUAAAAAAUCUGCAGGAAUAAUGUUUCAAAGGUUAGUAUAUGCAAAUAUGUAAACAAAGGCAUGCCCCUAUUUCAGAAAAUAUCCAUUUAUUAUUUUAAUAAUUGCGAAUAAGCCACAAACUUGCUUAUUCCUAACAAAAAUAGUAAAUAGAGAUAAUAACAAACGGAUUAUUUGUAAAAUUAAAAUUUUUUUUGCGUUUUUGCUAAUGUAUGCGUUUAUAAACAGGAUGGUAGACCACACACUAUAAUAGUACCAACUAAUGAAUACACAGUAUGAAUAGUACAGUCGGUUCGCUAAACUUAGUCUCAGACACAACUGGCUAGUGAUUUUAGUAAAUAAUUUUGACAAUUUGGUAAAAUUGGCAAAAAAAUAACUAAAUAGUUAGUAAUUUUGGCAAAAAUGGCCAAAAACAAAAAAAUUACCUACUAAAAUCACUAGCCAGUUGUGGCUAGGGAAACGACUAUACUAAUAAACAAUUUCUAAGCUGCUUUUUAUAAUAUUUUGUGAGUUCAUUAAUCAUAUUUUUUAUUUAAAACUAAAAUUUGUUAAUAAUGCUCAGUAAUGCAUAUAUUUUGUAUUUUUAGCUUUCCAGAAGAUCCUGCGAAGAAGGCAUGAAGUAUUGAUCAGAUUUGUUAAUAGAGCAGUAUGUUCAAAACAUUUUUUAGAAAAAGAUAUUGACAGAACUUCACUUUCAACCGUGAACUUCACUUUCAACCGUUUGAGAGACUGUGCUAUUCCAAUAGCUUAUAUCACACAGAAUCAGCUGAGAGAAAUGGUCUACAAAAAACCAGGAAGGAAAUGGAAUAUGUGACUAUGAAAGGCAAAAGAAAGGUUUACAAAGCAAAUGUGACACAUUUUUUUAUAGGAAUAUCAGUAAAUUACAUUAAAAAAAUGUAUGAAAAAAUUUUUUGCAAUAAAAAUGUUUAUAUUUA
Molecule: long non-coding RNA, 2734 nt
Filed under: Diabrotica virgifera virgifera (western corn rootworm)
Lineage: Eukaryota; Metazoa; Arthropoda; Insecta; Coleoptera; Chrysomelidae
Description: uncharacterized LOC126882309
Source: RNAcentral